RNAcentral lists this ribosomal RNA (253 nucleotides) under uncultured bacterium. Its description in RNAcentral is "partial 16S ribosomal RNA". It matches the Rfam family "Bacterial small subunit ribosomal RNA", at positions 524 to 776 of the family's 1533-position model. The record is from RNAcentral.
UACAGAGGGUGCGAGCGUUAAUCGGAAUUACUGGGCGUAAAGCGCGCGUAGGUGGCUAUGCAAGUCGGAUGUGAAAUCCCCGGGCUCAACCUGGGAACUGCAUUCGAGACUGCAUUGCUCGAGUAUGGGAGAGGGAAGUGGAAUUUCCGGUGUAGCGGUGAAAUGCGUAGAUAUCGGAAGGAACAUCAGUGGCGAAAGCGACUUCCUGGACCAAUACUGACACUCAAGUGCGAAAGCGGGGGGAGCAAACAGG